Molecule: ribosomal RNA, 563 nt
Filed under: Bacillus sp. (in: firmicutes)
Lineage: Bacteria; Bacillati; Bacillota; Bacilli; Caryophanales; Bacillaceae
Description: bacterial SSU rRNA
Rfam family: Bacterial small subunit ribosomal RNA
Source: RNAcentral
CUAUACAUGNAAGUCGAGCGGACAGAAGGGAGCUUGCUCCCGGAUGUUAGCGGCGGACGGGUGAGUAACACGUGGGUAACCUGCCUGUAAGACUGGGAUAACUCCGGGAAACCGGAGCUAAUACCGGAUAGUUCCUUGAACCGCAUGGUUCAAGGAUGAAAGACGGUUUCGGCUGUCACUUACAGAUGGACCCGCGGCGCAUUAGCUAGUUGGUGAGGUAACGGCUCACCAAGGCGACGAUGCGUAGCCGACCUGAGAGGGUGAUCGGCCACACUGGGACUGAGACACGGCCCAGACUCCUACGGGAGGCAGCAGUAGGGAAUCUUCCGCAAUGGACGAAAGUCUGACGGAGCAACGCCGCGUGAGUGAUGAAGGUUUUCGGAUCGUAAAGCUCUGUUGUUAGGGAAGAACAAGUGCAAGAGUAACUGCUUGCACCUUGACGGUACCUAACCAGAAAGCCACGGCUAACUACUUGCUCGCNNCCGCGGUAAUACGUAUGUGGCANGCGUUGCCCGGAACUACCGGCCGNNNAGGGCUCGCAGGNNGUCUCUCAGGUCUGAGGC